This 253-nucleotide unclassified non-coding RNA is filed under the name uncultured Eubacteriales bacterium. RNAcentral's name for it is "contains 16S-23S intergenic spacer region". It matches the Rfam family "Bacterial small subunit ribosomal RNA", at positions 524 to 776 of the family's 1533-position model. The record is from RNAcentral. Lineage: Bacteria; Bacillati; Bacillota; Clostridia; Eubacteriales.
UACGUAGGGGGCGAGCGUUGUCCGGAUUUAUUGGGCGUAAAGGGCGUGUAGGCGGUCUGGUAAGUCGGGGGUGAAAACCCAGAGCUCAACUCUGGGACUGCCUCCGAAACUGCUGGACUUGAGUGCUCUAGAGGGCAGUGGAAUUGCCGGUGUAGCAGUGAAAUGCGUAGAGAUCGGCAGGAACACCAGUGGCGAAGGCGACUGCCUGGGGAGUAACUGACGCUGAGGCGCGAAAGCUGGGGGAGCAAACGGG